GACGAACGCUGGCGGCGUGCCUAAUACAUGCAAGUUGAGCGCUGAAGGUUGGUACUUGUACCGACUGGAUGAGCAGCGAACGGGUGAGUAACGCGUGGGGAAUCUGCCUUUGAGCGGGGGACAACAUUUGGAAACGAAUGCUAAUACCGCAUAAAAACUUUAAACACAAGUUUUAAGUUUGAAAGAUGCAAUUGCAUCACUCAAAGAUGAUCCCGCGUUGUAUUAGCUAGUUGGCGAGGUAAAGGCUCACCAAGGCGAUGAUACAUAGCCGACCUGAGAGGGGGAUCGGCCACAUUGGGACUGAGACACGGCCCAAACUCCUACGGGAGGCAGCAGUAGGGAAUCUUCGGCAACGGACGAAAGUCUGACCGAGCAACGCCGCGUGAGUGAAGAAGGGUUUCGGAUCGUAAAACUCUGUUGGUAGAGAAGAACGUUGGUGAGAGUGGAAAGCUCAUCAAGUGACGGUAACUACCCAGAAAGGGACGGCUAACUACGUG
This 497-nucleotide ribosomal RNA is filed under the name uncultured bacterium. RNAcentral's name for it is "partial 16S ribosomal RNA". It matches the Rfam family "Bacterial small subunit ribosomal RNA", at positions 28 to 507 of the family's 1533-position model. The record is from RNAcentral.